This 1046-nucleotide long non-coding RNA is filed under the name Cotesia glomerata. RNAcentral describes it as "uncharacterized LOC123266560, transcript variant X1". The record is from RNAcentral. Lineage: Eukaryota; Metazoa; Arthropoda; Insecta; Hymenoptera; Braconidae.
UAUUAAAAAGUAACAAUGACAAGUGAAUCAUUUUUAAAAUUUGUUGAAUGAAACUGAACAAGAAUAAACUUGAGAAAAAAAGUUCCCGAUGCGUAAAUCGUUAAACACUUUCGGGGAAUCUGUGAAUGACAGAUAAAAAGCAUUAGCAUGUUUUUCAGGGUGGAAAAAGAGACAAAUGGUUAGUCGGGCUGUUGAACACCGCAUAAAGAAGAUGAAGAUGAAGAUGAGAUGACGAGGAGCAAGCAAGCAAGUAAGCAAGUUAGAGAAGAGUAGAGGGAGAAUAGUUUAUCGACAGGAUGAAGCCAUUAUCAAGGUGUACGGUCUAGUUCUUGUAUGUAUUGAGGCGAGGACUUUUCGACUGGCAUAUAGAACAAUUCUACUGGGACGAAGUAAAAGAAGAAGAAGAAGAUGAUGAUGAUUAUGACUGUGAUGAAGAAGAGUAAAUUCGCCGGCUCAAAAAUGAGCUAAGGCUUCCUGUAUAUUUCACGACCUCAUUUAAAUGGACACUGGAGAAUUUCAAUUGGAGUCACAGCCUCCACGGGUCAUUGAUCCUAAAAAUAUAUAUUUACAAAGACGUUUUUUAAAAAGCGUCGUCAUAUCAUCCAGCAAGCACUUGAUCAAAGACCAGUAUGAAUAGCAUAACUGGAUCCCGAGUGCGGAAAAUAACUGCAUAGAAGUGGGCAACUAGUAUAAUAUCAAUAAGUGAAAAAAGACAUAUUUAAACCAGCUCUCAAGCGUUCCUAAUUACCAUGAGUGUUUUUCGGUAUUUGAAACAUACUAUUCAGAGGACAAGCUUAUAACAUAUACACACACGAUAUGCAGUCGCAGUGUCUUAUACCGGUUUUUCUCGCCUUAUUAAUAAAUUAUACAAGCCAAGGAGGUUCGGCGUAUAGUAGAGAGCUCUCUUAUAUACAUUAGCCCGAGAAUGAACGAGCAAUAAAACGCACACAGUGCGAGUAAGCAAGAAGACAAGAAGACAGCGUAUCCAGCGUACAACCAGGCACCUUGGUUUAAUACAUAUGUACAUAAGUUGUUUUAUAUUGAGU